This 29-nucleotide non-coding RNA is filed under the name Mus musculus (house mouse). The record is from RNAcentral. Lineage: Eukaryota; Metazoa; Chordata; Mammalia; Rodentia; Muridae.
UAAGGUUGACCCCUCUGAAAUGCUGUGCA